Cercocebus atys (sooty mangabey) is the source of this 732-nucleotide long non-coding RNA. RefSeq lists it as uncharacterized. The record is from RefSeq and is a predicted model, not a curated record. The transcript has 2 exons. NCBI's taxonomy places the organism in Eukaryota, Metazoa, Chordata, Mammalia, Primates, Cercopithecidae.
GCACACCCGAGCCUGAGACAACAGCUCUGCUAAGUGCCCUUGAGAGGGCACGGUGGGGUCAGCACCAAAGCCAGACCACUAAAGAGAAAAAGAAAGGAAGAGAGGAUUGCAGAGGAGAAAUGAGAACGGCAGAAAAAAAUAAUUUUUUAAGCCAAAAGGAAUCAGAGAAGAGCAGAAGUGCCUCUAGGAUAAAGCGUAGCAGGCAGUUAGGGAAAAAGAGCUGUUAACUACUUUGAAGCUCUGACUACAUUAGAAGGCCUCGCAAGACAGUCGUGGCUUGCACGGGCAGGUAGAGAACUUUUCCUGUCCAUUGUUCUUCUGAAUUAUAAAUCACUGACCUCUUUACGAUUUCUAAAGAGAAAAUGACUUCAAACUUCUUAGAGUUCCCUAAGGCAUUCUCUAUAUUCAAUAUAAUAUGGGAAGCCCUGGGUUUGUCUUUGUACAUUUCAUCUGCGACCUGAAAUCUUCAUAACCCUCUUCCUUUCUCUACUUAUCAAGUAAGGGGUGGUUGGCAAUAAGGAUGGGUGGGAGAGAAAAAAACCCAGACUUUGAGGAGGAGAGCAUUUAAACCAUCAGCCUGUGUGUUCUGUGACAUCGAAGACUGGCAACAUUCUAAAGGUAAAUCAGCUGUGAAGUCAUAAUUAUGUUCACUUCCCACUGGCAACUGGCAAGCCCUUUAUUUUUGUGCAUUUGGAACUCACCAAGAAUAAAUAAAGUCCAUUCCCUCCUUGA